UACGAAGGGGGCUAGCGUUGCUCGGAAUGACUGGGCGUAAAGGGCGCGUAGGCGGCUAGGCAAGUCAGGUGUGAAAGCCCCGAGCUUAACUCGGGAACUGCACCUGAAACUGCUGGGCUUGAGUUCUGGAGGGGGUAGUGGAAUUCCCAGUGUAGCGGUGAAAUGCGUAGAUAUUGGGAGGAACACCUGCGGCGAAGGCGGCUACCUGGACCGGUACUGACGCUGAGGCGCGAAAGCGUGGGGAGCAAACAGG
Molecule: ribosomal RNA, 253 nt
Filed under: uncultured bacterium
Lineage: Bacteria
Description: partial 16S ribosomal RNA
Rfam family: Bacterial small subunit ribosomal RNA
Source: RNAcentral